RNAcentral lists this long non-coding RNA (258 nucleotides) under Prunus persica (peach). Its description in RNAcentral is "long non-coding RNA (PPER_LNC005737)". The record is from RNAcentral. Lineage: Eukaryota; Viridiplantae; Streptophyta; Magnoliopsida; Rosales; Rosaceae.
UUGGCUGCCGUCGUCACCUAGCUCGUCGCCAUAGGAGGUCACCAAGAGCUUUGCCUCACAAUAAGUACUUCCAAUCUCACCUCUCUAUCACAUAUCUGAAGCACAAUCUCCCUCGCGCUGUCCAGGCCACCAAGCUCGCGUUGUCGAUGUUAUGAGCUCGCCAUUUCCCUCACGUUACUUCCCUUUCCAAAUUCGUGUGUCAGCGUUCUCUGGUAGGUGGUGUUCAACAUCUUCAAGGUUAGCCUCCUCACCCUCUUC